Molecule: ribosomal RNA, 546 nt
Filed under: uncultured bacterium
Lineage: Bacteria
Description: bacterial SSU rRNA
Rfam family: Bacterial small subunit ribosomal RNA
Source: RNAcentral
UAGGGAAUUUUUCACAAUGAGCGAAAGCUUGAUGGAGCAAUGCCGCGUGAACGAUGAAGGUCUUUAAGAUUAUAAAGUUCUUUUAUUUGGGAAGAAUGACUUUAGCAGGUAAUGGCUAGAGUUUGACUGUACCAUUUUGAAUAAGUGACGACUAACUAUGUGCCAGCAGUCGCGGUAAUACAUAGGUCGCAAGCGUUAUCCGGAUUUAUUGGGCGUAAAGCAAGCGCAGGCGGAUUGAAAAGUCUGGUGUUAAAGGCAGCUGCUUAACAGUUGUAUGCAUUGGAAACUAUUAAUCUAGAGUGUGGUAGGGAGUUUUGGAAUUUCAUGUGGAGCGGUGAAAUGCGUAGAUAUAUGAAGGAACACCAGUGGCGAAGGCGAAAACUUAGGCCAUUACUGACGCUUAGGCUUGAAAGUGUGGGGAGCAAAUAGGAUUAGAUACCCUAGUAGUCCACACCGUAACGAUAGAUACUAGCUGUCGGGGCGAUCCCCUCGGUAGUGAAGUUAACACAUUAAGUAUCUCGCCUGGGUAGUACAUUCGCAAGAAUG